RNAcentral lists this unclassified non-coding RNA (197 nucleotides) under uncultured fungus. RNAcentral describes it as "sequence contains ITS1, 5.8S rRNA gene". Lineage: Eukaryota; Fungi. The record is from RNAcentral.
UAGUACAACGGAGGUGCGACGGCUGUUGCUGACCCUUCAAAGGUCGUGCACGCUCGAGCUCUCUCUUACACAUCCAUCUCACCCUUUGUGCAUCGCCGCGUGGGUCCCCCCCCUUUGGAGGGGGGCUUGCGUUUUUCACAUAAAACUAGACGCAGUGUAGAAUGUCUUUUUAUUUUUGUGGUCACACGCAAUCAAUA